This is a non-coding RNA of Dipodomys ordii (Ord's kangaroo rat), 62 nucleotides long. NCBI's taxonomy places the organism in Eukaryota, Metazoa, Chordata, Mammalia, Rodentia, Heteromyidae. The record is from Rfam.
CACUGAUUAUCUUCAGGCUCCUGAGAACCCCGUAAGAAGUGACGCCCUCCUUCAACUAAAAG